AAGUCGAGCGAGAAACAUCUUCGGAUGUGAUUAGAGCGGCGAACGGGUGAGUAACGCGUGGGAACAUACACAAUACUGGGGGAUAACUACUGGAAACGGUAGCUAAUACCGCAUACGCCCUAUGGGGGAAAGAUUUAUCGGUGUUGGAUUGGCCCGCGUUAGAUUAGCUAGUUGGUAGGGUAAUGGCUUACCAAGGCAACGAUCUAUAGCUGGUUUGAGGGGAUGAUCAGCCACACUGGAACUGAGACACGGUCCAGACUCCUACGGGAGGCAGCAGUAGGGAAUAUUGCACAAUGGGGGAAACCCUGAUGCAGCCAUGCCGCGUGAGUGAAGAAGGCCUUAGGGUUGUAAAGCUCUUUCAGAUGUGAGGAUGAUGACGUUAACAUCAGAAGAAGCUCCGGCUAACUUCGUGCCAGCAGCCGCGGUAAUACGAAGGGAGCUAGCGUUGUUCGGAACUACUGGGCGUAAAGGGCGUGU
This 477-nucleotide ribosomal RNA is filed under the name uncultured bacterium. RNAcentral's name for it is "bacterial SSU rRNA". It matches the Rfam family "Bacterial small subunit ribosomal RNA", at positions 59 to 572 of the family's 1533-position model. The record is from RNAcentral.